Molecule: long non-coding RNA, 620 nt
Filed under: Cyanistes caeruleus (blue tit)
Lineage: Eukaryota; Metazoa; Chordata; Aves; Passeriformes; Paridae
Description: lncRNA (ENSCCEG00000013644.1)
Source: RNAcentral
AUGCUGAUUAUUUUUAUCUACUUGCUUCUUUCUCCUUUCCCCCAGCAGCACCACAGUCUACAGGAGUUCUUUAGAGUGAACCCUUUCAAAUAUGAACACCAUUGUUUCACUGUUCCUCCUCAUGGACCUGACCUAAAUCUCCUCUGUGUGCAGAGGGUGAAGGUGCUGGAGAAGAAAUGUGGAUGUGCUGCAGAAACCAUUGCAGAUGAAAGAAGAAGAAGAAGAUCCUGUCCUGCCUUUGUUGGCCACAAGGUACCCACUGCUGGUUCCAGUAAACACAAGGCUGAAUGGAAACAUUUGUGAGCCAAAGGCAUCGGUGUCUGCCUCGUAAAAUCUCAAACUGAGAAAUGAGGGAUUAAAUGGCUGUGAACCCUUAAUUAAGUGCUCAGCACCAACGUGCCCUCCUGCUGGAGCCUGAGACGUGCUGAUAGGAGCUGGUGAGGAGCUGGAGCUUGUGGUACUCCUGAUUUUCAAGGUGGAAAAAAGUCCUGCGCUCUCUCUUUUUGAGACACCAUCUCAUGUGUGGCUGGUUCACAGGGCAGACUCCAAAACCAGUGGCAGUGGUGGGUUUUUAGUGGAAUGCAGUUAUUCUGGGAGAAGCAAAUUCCUGGGUGUGCGAG